GUGCUCUCUUCAGCAGCACGUAUACUAAAAUUGGAACAAUACAGAGAAGAGUAACAUGGCUCCUGAGCAAGGAUGACACACAAAUUCGUGAAGCAUUCCAUAUUAAA
RNAcentral lists this small nuclear RNA (107 nucleotides) under Microcebus murinus (gray mouse lemur). Lineage: Eukaryota; Metazoa; Chordata; Mammalia; Primates; Cheirogaleidae. The record is from RNAcentral.